UAGUCACUGUGCCUGGCUUUUAUAUGG
Molecule: non-coding RNA, 27 nt
Filed under: Rattus norvegicus (Norway rat)
Lineage: Eukaryota; Metazoa; Chordata; Mammalia; Rodentia; Muridae
Source: RNAcentral